RNAcentral lists this ribosomal RNA (200 nucleotides) under uncultured bacterium. RNAcentral's name for it is "partial 16S ribosomal RNA". It matches the Rfam family "Bacterial small subunit ribosomal RNA", at positions 8 to 208 of the family's 1533-position model. The record is from RNAcentral.
AGAGUUUGAUCCUGGCUCAGGACGAACGCUGGCGGCGUGCCUAAUACAUGCAAGUCGAGCGGAGUUGUUCCUUCGGGGACAGCUUAGCGGCGGACGGGUGAGUAACACGUGGGCAACCUGCCUGCAAGAUCGGGAUAACUAUCGGAAACGAUAGCUAAGACCGGAUAAUUCAUUUUCUCGCAUGAGGGGAUGAUGAAACA